GAUGAACGCUGACAGAAUGCUUAACACAUGCAAGUCAACUUGAACUUCGGUUUGGGUGGCGGACGGGUGAGUAACGCGUAAAGAACUUGCCUCACAGCUAGGGACAACAUUUGGAAACGAAUGCUAAUACCUGAUAUUAUGAUUAUAUGGCAUCGUAUAAUUAUGAAAGCUAUAUGCGCUGUGAGAGAGCUUUGCGUCCCAUUAGCUAGUUGGAGAGGUAACAGCUCACCAAGGCGAUGAUGGGUAGCCGGCCUGAGAGGGUGAUCGGCCACAAGGGGACUGAGACACGACCCUUACUCCUACGGGAGGCAGCAGUGGGGAAUAUUGGACAAUGGACCGAGAGUCUGAUCCAGCAAUUCUGUGUGCACGAUGAAGUUUUUCGGAAUGUAAAGUGCUUUCAGUUGGGAAGAAAAAAAUGACGGUACCAACAGAAGAAGUGACGGCUAAAUACGUG
RNAcentral lists this ribosomal RNA (454 nucleotides) under uncultured bacterium. RNAcentral describes it as "partial 16S ribosomal RNA". It matches the Rfam family "Bacterial small subunit ribosomal RNA", at positions 28 to 507 of the family's 1533-position model. The record is from RNAcentral.